Metopolophium dirhodum (rose-grain aphid) is the source of this 377-nucleotide long non-coding RNA. RefSeq lists it as uncharacterized. Lineage: Eukaryota; Metazoa; Arthropoda; Insecta; Hemiptera; Aphididae. The record is from RefSeq and is a predicted model, not a curated record. The transcript has 3 exons.
AUCGGACAGAGGAGACCAGGCGGGAAUGAUAGAUGAAAAUAAUAGUAGAUACCUACACGGAGGAUAAUGAACCUAAAGACAACACGAUUGUUAUUUGCUGCGGGUGCCGACUCAAUCCAAACGCAAAAACACUAUGAAUAUGAUAGCGACUGCAAAGUAUACACAAAACACAUUCAUUACACGAUCGAAUUAAACAUUCGUUAUUAAUUACUAUCCAUGACAUUCUCGAUCAAUAGUAUUGACAAAAUAGUACCUAUCGAAUAUAGUUUAGUUGAUUAGAUAAUUCGAUUUCGGUUUAACACAUUUAUUUUUACAAAUAACUACCGCCUCAAUUUAAGUAGGUAGGUGUCUACGUACACAAUACAUAAUAUCCUAUG